GGGGAUGUGGCUCAAGCGGUAGUGCGCUCGCCUAGCAUGCGUGCGGCCCGGGUUCGAUCCUCAGCAGCACCA
This is a non-coding RNA of Ictidomys tridecemlineatus (thirteen-lined ground squirrel), 72 nucleotides long. The record is from Rfam. Lineage: Eukaryota; Metazoa; Chordata; Mammalia; Rodentia; Sciuridae.